GAUGAACGCUGGCGGCGUGCCUAAUACAUGCAGGUCGAGCGAACAGACGAGGAGCUUGCUCCUCUGACGUUAGCGGCGGACGGGUGAGUAACACGUGGAUAACCUACCUAUAAGACUGGGAUAACUUCGGGAAACCGGAGCUAAUACCGGAUAACAUGUUGAACCGCAUGGUUCAACAGUGAAAGACGGUCUUGCUGUCGCUUAUAGAUGGAUCCGCGCCGCAUUAGCUAGUUGGUAAGGUAACGGCUUACCAAGGCAACGAUGCGUAGCCGACCUGAGAGGGUGAUCGGCCACACUGGAACUGAGACACGGUCCAGACUCCUACGGGAGGCAGCAGUAGGGAAUCUUCCGCAAUGGGCGAAAGCCUGACGGAGCAACGCCGCGUGAGUGAAGAAGGUCUUCGGAUCGUAAAACUCUGUUAUUAGGGAAGAACAAAUGUGUAAGUAACUAUGCACGUCUUGACGGUACCUAAUCAGAAAGCCACGGCUAACUACGUG
Molecule: ribosomal RNA, 497 nt
Filed under: uncultured bacterium
Lineage: Bacteria
Description: partial 16S ribosomal RNA
Rfam family: Bacterial small subunit ribosomal RNA
Source: RNAcentral